GAUGAACGCUGGCGGCGUGCCUAAUACAUGCAAGUCGAGCGAACAGAUAAGGAGCUUGCUCCUUAGAAGUAAGCGGCGGACGGGUGAGUAACACGUGGGUAACCUACCUAUAAGACUGGGAUAACUUCGGGAAACCGGAGCUAAUACCGGAUAACAAUUAGAACCGCAUGGUUCUAAAGUGAAAGAUGGUUUUGCUAUCACUUAUAGAUGGACCCGCGCCGUAUUAGCUAGUUGGUAAGGUAACGGCUUACCAAGGCGACGAUACGUAGCCGACCUGAGAGAGUGAUCGGCCACACUGGAACUGAGACACGGUCCAUACUCCUACGGGAGGCAGCAGUAGGGAAUCAUCCGCAACGGGCGAGAGCCUGACGGAGCAACGCCGCGUGAGUGAUGAAGGGUUUCGGCUCGUAAAACUCUGUUAUUAGGGAAGAACAAAUGUGUAAGUAACUGUGCACAUCUUGACGGUACCUAAUCAGAAAGCCACGGCUAACUACGUG
RNAcentral lists this ribosomal RNA (497 nucleotides) under uncultured bacterium. Its description in RNAcentral is "partial 16S ribosomal RNA". It matches the Rfam family "Bacterial small subunit ribosomal RNA", at positions 28 to 507 of the family's 1533-position model. The record is from RNAcentral.